RNAcentral lists this long non-coding RNA (1310 nucleotides) under Chrysemys picta bellii (western painted turtle). RNAcentral describes it as "lncRNA (ENSCPBG00000017061.1)". The record is from RNAcentral. Lineage: Eukaryota; Metazoa; Chordata; Testudines; Emydidae.
CACAGCGUGGCAGUCCUGAUGGACAACACUACCGCCAUGUUCUAUAUAAACAAGCAGGGUGGGUCCCGGUCUUCUCCCCUCUGUCGUGAGGCACUCCAAUUAUGGGACUUUUGUAUAGCCCAUGCGAUCCAACUCAUCGCAACAUAUCUUCCGGGGAUCCAAAACGGCUUAGUGGAUCGCCUCAGCCGAUCCUACCGAAUGCACGAAUGGACGUUGAGGCGAGACGUCCUGCAUUCAAUCUUCCGGAGGUGGGGCUUUCCCCGGGUGGAUCUGUUCGCCACCAAGGACAACAGUCAAUGCCCUCAGUUCUGCUCAUUCCAGAACCUCAGCCCGGGAUUAUUAGCAGAUGCCUUCACGAUCCCAUGGGGAGGGAGCCUGAGGCAUGCCUUCCCUCCGUUCCCGCUCAUACACAAGGUCCUCCUCAAGACCCGCAGGGACAGGGCGACAGUUAUACUCAUCGCCCCGGCCUGGCCACGCCAGCAUUGGUUCACGACCCUGCUGGAAUUGUCCAUAGCCGACCCGAUCACCCUCCCCCUCCAUCGCGACCUAGUCACACAAGACAAGGGUCGCCUGCUCCACCCGAACCUGUCUUCGCUACAUCUCACGGCAUGGUAUCUCUCUGGCUGAACGAUGCAGAACACAGGUGCUCUCACCAGGUUCAACAAAUCCUCCUUAGUAGUAGGAAGCCCUCUACAAGAGCCAAAUGGAAAAGGUUCUCCCACUGGUGCGAGCCUCAGCACAUACAGCCUUUACAGGCCUCAGUUCCGUCGAUCCUGGACUACUUACUGCACCUCAAGCAUCAAGGGCUUGCGCCCGCCUCGAUUAGAGUGCAUUUAGCCGCCAUUUCGGCUUUCCAUCCGGGAGAGUUGGGAGUGUCAGUGAUCUCCAACUCCACAGUGGCCCGAUUCCUCAAGGGGCUGGAGAGGGUGUUUCCCUACUCGCGCCCGCCUGUCCCUGCGUGGAGUCUGAACCUAGUCCUAACAAAGCUCAUGGGACCCCCCCUUUGAACCCCUAGCCACUUGCUCCCUCAUGCACCUCUCAUGGAAGGUGGCGUUUCUCGUGGCCAUCACAUCGGCCAGGAGGGUAUCGGAAUUGAGGGCCCUCACUUCAGAACCCCCUUAUACAGUUUUUCAUAAGGAUAAGGUGCAACUGAGGCCGCACCCCAAAUUCCUCCCGAAAGUGGUAUCACAGUUUCACAUGGGACAGGACAUUUGUCUACCGGUGUUCUUCCCUAAACCCCAUACGGACCCUCAUCACCGCAGCCUGCAUACCCUUGAUGUUCGAAGGGCAUUGGCAUUCUACCUGGAACG